GAAUGCUGACAUAAGUAACGAUAAAGCGGGUGAAAAGCCCGCUCGCCGGAAGACCAAGGGUUCCUGUCCAACGUUAAUCGGGGCAGGGUGAGUCGACCCCUAAGGCGAGGCCGAAAGGCGUAGUCGAUGGGAAACGGGUUAAUAUUCCCGUACUUGGUGUUACUGCGAAGGGGGGACGGAGAAGGCUAUGUUGGCCGGGCGACGGUUGUCCCGGUUUAAGCGUGUAGGUGUGUGUUCCAGGUAAAUCCGGUUCACUUUAACACUGAGGCGUGAUGACGAGGCACUACGGUGCUGAAGCAACAAAUGCCCUGCUUCCAGGAAAAGCCUCUAAGCAUCAGGUAACAUCAAAUCGUACCCCAAACCGACACAGGUGGUCAGGUAGAGAAUACCAAGGCGCUUGAGAGAACUCGGGUGAAGGAACUAGGCAAAAUGGUGCCGUAACUUCGGGAGAAGGCACGCUGACACGUAGGUGAAGUGAUUUACUCAUGGAGCUGAAGUCAGUCGAAGAUACCAGCUGGCUGCAACUGUUUAUUAAAAACACAGCACUGUGCAAACA
Molecule: ribosomal RNA, 556 nt
Filed under: Salmonella enterica
Lineage: Bacteria; Pseudomonadati; Pseudomonadota; Gammaproteobacteria; Enterobacterales; Enterobacteriaceae
Also listed under: 1 other name
Description: partial 23S ribosomal RNA
Rfam family: Bacterial large subunit ribosomal RNA
Source: RNAcentral